AACUCAAAAUUCAAAAAUUGUGGCAUAAUUCAUCGUACAAACCUAUCGAUAUUCUUCUGCCCUGACGUUUUCUAGCACUGAAAAGCGUUUCAUAGCGCUUGCCCACACUGGCUCGCAAAUCAUCCAUUCUUGUAUUAUUAUGGCCAAUUGCUUUAUUCGCUGACCAAAUAAUUCGUUCAAGCCGCAGCCAUAGCUAUUUCGCGAGGACUUGCAGAUAGUGCUAUAUCUAAAUACCGAUUCCGUGCAGUGGGAUCGCCGCACAGGAAGCGAAAGCGCCGAAAACGAGGCAUUUUCCCCUCCGAUUUGUCCCCUUUUCGGGCGAGAGACGCCGACCAUCGAAACAUUUUCCUGCGGUAGCAUAAGGUUACACAGUCCGCCACAGCAAUGAAAUGGACAAUGCCAUCGGCCAUUAGUGGCGCGGCCCACGGCCAGGUGCACAUACCCAGCAAUGAGGAGUGCGGCAUACGGGACGUGUGGAAGCAUAACCUGGAGGAGGAGUUCCGCACCAUACGGAAAGUGGUACAAAAAUACCAUUAUGUGGCCAUGGACACUGAAUUCCCGGGAGUAGUGGCGCGUCCAGUCGGAGAGUUUCGCUCCACGGCGGACUAUCACUAUCAACUGCUGCGCUGCAAUGUGGAUCUAUUGCGAAUCAUUCAGCUUGGCCUGACCUUCAUGGACGACGAGGGCAAAACGCCACCGGGCUACUCAACAUGGCAGUUCAACUUUAAGUUCAAUCUAAGCGAGGACAUGUAUGCCCAGGACUCCAUCGAUCUGUUGCAGAAUUCGGGCAUUCAGUUUAAAAAACACGAAGAAGACGGCAUCGAUCCAAUUGAGUUCGCCGAACUGCUGAUGAGCUCCGGCAUCGUACUGGUGGACAAUAUCAAGUGGCUGUGCUUCCAUUCCGGCUACGAUUUUGGCUACCUUUUGAAGCUCCUCACCGACCAGAACCUGCCCGCCGACGAAGGAGACUUUUUCGAACUGCUGCAUAUCUAUUUCCCCAACAUAUUCGACAUUAAGUAUCUGAUGAAGUCGUGCAAGAAUCUGAAGGGCGGCCUGCAGGAGGUGGCCGACCAGCUGGAGCUGCGUCGUGUUGGCCCCCAGCAUCAGGCCGGUUCCGAUGCCCUACUAACGGGCAUGGCUUUCUUCAAAAUGCGUGAGCUCUUUGUUGAAACAAAUUUCCAUACUCUGCACUGUGUAUAUAAGCGUAGCAAGUGCUUAAACUUCUAGUGAACUGACGAAAAGUUCUGACUAAAACAAGAAUAUCCCCGAAUUACAUAUGUACAAUAUCUCCAUUUCGAAUCCUAACCCAACAAAAUUAAGAAAUCUGUAAUAAAGUAGAAUCUUCUUCACCUAACCAUCACAUCGGUAACGAUGUUCUUCGAGGACAAUAUCGACCAUGCCAAAUACUCCGGACAUCUGUACGGCCUCGGCACCUCGUUCAUUGUGAACGGUACCAACUUCCAU
RNAcentral lists this unclassified non-coding RNA (1464 nucleotides) under Drosophila ananassae. Its description in RNAcentral is "GF10398". The record is from RNAcentral. Lineage: Eukaryota; Metazoa; Arthropoda; Insecta; Diptera; Drosophilidae.